Molecule: long non-coding RNA, 6783 nt
Filed under: Gossypium barbadense (sea-island cotton)
Lineage: Eukaryota; Viridiplantae; Streptophyta; Magnoliopsida; Malvales; Malvaceae
Description: long non-coding RNA (GBAR_LNC006946)
Rfam family: MIR7502 microRNA precursor family (bases 5017-5161)
Source: RNAcentral
UGAAAAUAGGCUUGAUUUAAGCCACAUUUCUCACCCUCCUCAAGCAUACCUAAACCACAUCAAAUUUCAUCAUUUCCAUACAUAUAUGAACAACCAAAACAUGCUAAUUCAUUCACAAUUUAUACCAUUUAUAAACCAUCCACUUAACUACUCAAAUCCAUAACCAAAACAUACCCAAUCAAUAUGCCAAAGUCAUCAAACUUACUUAACUUCUAAAUGCACUUUCUCAACAUUCUAUCAUCUAUUUCAUGCCUCAAAACAUACAAUUUCAUUAUCUCAUAAUCAAACCACAAUAUGUCAACUUUCAAGCAUCAACAUAUCAAUUAAUAACUAAUCAAGUGAGUAACCACCUAGCCAUAUCAACAACCAUGACAAACAUGCCAAAGUACAUGAAUACUUAUAUACAUCACAUAUAUCACUUAUCAAACACAUAAUUUAAGCCAACUUAAAUGGCCAUACAUACCAACAUUUACAUCAAAAGCAAGCCAAGUCUCAUGGCUAAUAUCAUGACUUAAAAAAAUACCAAAAUAACACUAGCCUAUACAUGCCAUAUACCAAAUAUACAAAGCUUCAAAAGUACCAACGAGAUGAUCGAUAGUGUGAUGAUGUUUCUCGAGUCCGAGCUAGCUUCGAUAAUCUAUAAAACAUGGAAAUAACACACAAAGUAAGCUUUAAAAGCUUAGUAAGCCAUGUAUAAAUAAAGCCAUCAUAUGAACAUUUGCAUAUCAAUUCAAAUAUGCUAAACAUAGCUAAUCAUAUUCAAAUUUACAAACCUUUCUUAUUGAACAUAUAUUCAAUAUCUUAAUCAAGUUCAUCAAAUACUUUCCCUUUUUAAUAUUCGUAUGAAUUUCAUACGUACCUGAGUCGUUUAACUCAUUAACACAUUCUUUCUUGACUUGUCUUUGCCCAUUGAAUCAUUCGGAAUCGUUAAGGAUACUCGGAAUCACAUAAAACUCGUACAAUGCCAUAUCCUAGAUAUGGUCUUAAAUGUUAUCACAUAUCGAUGCCACUGUCCCAGACAGGGUCUUACACGAAAUCGAAUAACGAUGUCAAUGUCCCAGACAUGGUCUUACAUGUAAUCACAUCUUGUAACUUAAUGUCAUGACAUUCGUAUCUUAUACUAUUCCUAAGGUUCGUACAGGACUUUUGGAUAUCGUAACUUUAUCGAUUCUUGCUCAUAAUUGUUCAUUCAACAUUUACAACCUUUCAAUUAUAAAUAUACACAUAUAAUUCAAUUUAAAGGCAUUCAUUUGUAUAUGAACUUACCUCGUAUUCGGGAUAAACGAAUUGGAUCGACUAUUCGAUAACUUUCGAUUUCCCUAGAUCUAAAUCUGAUUUCUUUCGUUCGUAGUAUAUAUAAAUUCAAAAUUAACUCUUUUAUUCCUCAAUUCAUUCAAUUUUAUCCAAAACACACAAUUUGAGAAUUUUACACAUUAACCCCUAUAAUUUCACAUUUUCUCAAUUUAGUCCCUAUUUCAUGAAAACACAAAAUUCAUGAAAUUCAAAUUAACCGAUGCUUGAAAAAAUUUCAUAGGGAGCUCUAGCAGCCUAAACUUUCAUUUAUUCACACUUUUAACCCACAUUUUUAUCUUUUCACAAAUUAAUCCCUAAUUUGUAUUUUCUCUAAAAAUCACUUAAUAAAACUUUAAUAUAUAUCAUCAAACUUUCAAAAUUCAUCAAAAAUAAUUCAAAAGCUCAAGCAUUCAUUAAUGGAAACUCACAAAUUCAUCAAAAAUUUUAGAAAUUAGGGUACGGGCUAGCUAGAUUACUAAGCAACGAUCAUAAAAACAUAAAAAUCAUCAAACAUCGAGCUCAAAACGUAUCUCAAUCAAGCCACACAAGUUCUGAACCCUAAAUGAGCUUCAAGCUUUUAUUUUCUUUUGAUUUUCUUUUAUUUUCUUUAAUUAACCUUUUAUUUUACUAAUUACCAUAAUAUCCUUAAUGAAAUUAUAAUAAAAAUUUUAUAUACAUGAUCAUAAAUGUCCAUUAACUAUUCCAAAAGUCUAAUUUCAAUAUAAGGACUUCACAUGUAAUCAACCAUAAUAAUUAAACACAUUUAACAUAUAGAAUACCAUUUUUGCAUUUUACGCGAUUUAGUCCUUUUUUGUCAAAUUGAGCUAUUAAACGAUAAAAUUAGCUACGAAAUUUUCACACAUAUAUAUUCACAUGCUGCAAACACAAAAAAUAAUAUUAAAAUAAUUUUACGACCUCAGAUUUGUGGUUUCAAAAAUACUAUUCUGAUUUCGCUAAAACCAGGUUGUUACAAGAUUACCUUAUUUUCUAAUACUUUCAAUUCAUUAAUCAUACACAAUGAUUUAAGACAAAAAAACCUUAAUUUUUGAAUGAAGAAAUAAACAAUUUAUUGGGAGGAGAGGGAUGCAAUUGAAAACCUUGAAAACUUUGGUUGCGAAUGUGAUUCGACAAUGGUGAAGAAGAAGAGAAAAUCUUGAGAGUUUUUCUUGAAAAAUUUUCUAAAUAAAAUUCCUAGGUUUCUGAAAAGAUUGACUACUUAUAGAACUUUUUUCCUAAUUGAAAUAGAAUUAAGAAUUAGUUUAUAAUUAUGGUUUAUUUAAAUUAAUGACUAAAUAAAAAAAUAGUUUUUGGUCUGGGCUAGUUUGAAAAUUCAGUACUUUAUAGGGAUAAAAAUAAAAAAUAAAAUAUUUUAGCUAAAUGCAAACAAGGGAUUAUGAACUUGAGACCAAAAGGAAAGCUAAGCUUUACCACUGAACUAGCAAACUCAUUCUUAACAUAAGCCUUCAAGAAAUUGUUUUUAAAGGUUAUGGCUAAGCAUUAAGGGAGUUUUUAAAAUAAUCGGCAAAUGGUGCAAAUAAAGGAGUUUAAACCUAGGACCUCUAGAAUAGGGGAAUAACACUUAACCAUCAAGCUUAAGGCUCAUUUCUUGUUAAUUAUUUAUUAAAAAUAAUUUUUAAGGUAUUCUAAGUUCACUAGGGUGUGAUAUAAAUAGAGGAUGAAGAGAAGUUCUACUGAAAUUAUGAAAAAGAUAGUUAUUCUAGUCAAACUAGGACUAAAAUUUGUAUACCUUAGUGUAUGGGGCUAGAUCAUUUUGCUGGCCUUUGGCGAUCCGUUCGUUCAAACUCGCCUAAGUCAGCCUUUACUCAACUGAGGAUUCCUUAAGAAGUCCUCCAAGGCACCAAUUGUAGAGCAGAAGCAAUUUAUGCCAAAAGAACAACAGAAAGAACACACAUAGAAGCGAUUUAUGCCAUAUCAAAUCCUAUUUAAUCUUUACAAGAUAUGAUUCCCUCUAUCUUCUAAAAGUAGUUACCAAAUUUUCAAUGGAAUUAAAAAAGGAAGGGUGUAGCUUGAACUUGGGCAAAUGGAAAGGGAAUUAGCAUGUUAACCAUUAGACCUAAGUCUAUUUCUUGUUUAGUUUUUAGUGUGGUUUUUAUCCUAGGGUGCUAAAUAUAAAAGGAAAAAAAAUUGAAAGGAAUGAGAUUUGAACCUAGGAUUUCUAGGAUGGGUGCACUAUCAUUUUAAUCAUUCGACCUAUAUAUUAUUUUUUGUCUAUUUAUUAAGAUUAACUCCUUAUAUUUUGGGGCAUGACAUUGCUAGAUUUCAAUUCCAGACUCAAAUAAUUGCAAUUUUCAAUUAGGAACUUAAUUGAUUUUAAAUUAUUUUACGUUUUUUUUCAUUUAUGUUGAAAAAAUUUUAAGUCAACAUUUUAACUAAAAUAAUUAACGAGGAACUUUUUUUUUUGAUUAAUUGAUAUAAAAAUAAAGAAACUAGAUUAUAUCAAAUUAAAAUAUAAAAAAUGUAAAUAUAAUAAAAAGACUAAAACCAAAAUUUCAAUAAUAGAUUGAAAAUUUAAGGCUCCAUUUGAUUUCUUACAGUAUUUUAUAUUUAUAUUUUUAGUUCUCAUUUUUCAUUUUUCAUUUUUCAUUUUUCAUUUUUGAAAUUUGAAAAACAUUUUUGGUAAAUAAGAAUACAAAUUUGUUUUGAAAAAAUGAAAACAUAAAAUAAUGCUUAAUACAUAGAAAUAUUAUAUUUUUUUAAUAUUAUAAAAUAUUUUUUAUAUAUUAUGAAUAUGUUAUAAAAAUUAUACAAUUAUAGAAAAUCAGAAAUAUUAUUAAAUAUUACUAAAACUUUAUGAAAAAUAUGAAAUUAUUAUAAAAAUUUAGAAAUUAUAGAAAAUUAUAAAAAUUAUUACAGCGAAACCAACAAGUGGUUGAGUGGUUCAAAUAUUGGAGACAACAUUGUUGGGAGGGGCAACCAAGAACCCCAAAUAUGGACCGUAAAACAAACAUGCAUAAGAUCAAAAAAAUAUAUUAAAACGAUAAAAAACCAAAAACUUAUAAAAAUUAUAAAAAAAAUUAUAGAUAUUUUAUUUUAAAGUUUUGGAAUCUUUAGUUUCGUUAAUAAGGAAAUAAAGAACUUAAAUUAUGAUGGUGAUUGAAUUUGUACUGGGUGUCGAGUGAGGUGUUUAAGUGACAAUAAGUUUAGUGCUUGGCAGAUUAAGGUGAGUUUAGUGAUGGAUUAAGAAGAGCAAUAAGUAUUAGUUUUGGUUGAUGAGGUGAUGCGAGAGAAAUUAAUAAAGAUAGAUUGUGGUAUGACGUAAGACAGUGUGUAAGGGAAGAUAAAAAAAGAGUAGUAACUUUUAUUCAAAAAUUUUUAAAAUUAAUACAAAUUAUUGAAAUAUUACAAGAAAUUUUAGAAAACUAUGUAAAUUAUUCAAAAUUUAUUAAAUAUAAUAAAAAUUCAAAAAUUGCUAUUUUUAUAUUUUUAAUAAACCUUUAUAAUAUUUUAUUAUUUUAUAUUAUUAUAUAAAUUUUUUAUAGUUUUUUAAAUAAAAUUUUAAUAAUUUUCUAUAAUGUCUAAAACUCAAUUAAGCUUCAUAAAAUGAUUAAAAAAAUCAAUUAAGCCUUCCACUUUUAACAAUUUUCAAGGUAAAAGUACCAUGAAAGCCCCUAUACUAAGAGUCAAAUUGUAUUUUACCCCCUCUAUUAAAAAAUGGGCAAAUUAGUCCUUACAUAAUAGAUCAAAGAGCAAAUUGGUCAUUUCUGUUUAAAAUUUCAUCCAUUUGUACUAUUAAAAACUGAUGUGGCUGAUAGAAUAAUCAGAUAUUGACACGUAACAUGCCACAUGUACCUCAUACUGACGUACAAAGAUCAAAUUUUUAUAGCAAAAAUGGAUAAAAAUUUUAAUAAAAGGGUCAGCUUGCUCUUUAGACCUAAUGUAUAAGGACUAAUUUGCCGAUUUUUUGAGUAAAGGGGACAACAUGCAAUCCAACUCCUAAUACAGGGGUCUCUAUUAUACUUUUACCCAAUUUUCAAUGACAAACACCACAUCAGUUGCCACAUCAGUAUUUCCCACGUCAACUAUCGUGUCAUCACUUAACAGGCCGUCAGGGGCUUCAACGAAAAACUAUAUUUCAAGAGCUCAAUUGAUUGCUAAUUUUUUUAUUAGGAGGUUAUUUGAUUGUAAUUUUCGAUUAAGGUCUUGAUUAAUUUUUAAUUAUUUUACAAGGGCUUUUUUUAUAUUUAAAUAUUUUUUUCUUAAAACUCGUCAAUGACAUUAUAAUAAUAGAAGGAUCAAACUCUGUCAAAUUGACUAAAUUCUAAAUUUGAAUAGUACUAAAAGGAGUAAAAUCAAAAUUUGACAAAUAUAUUCAAAAUCUAAAUUCCUUAUCUUUUCUCCCUUGCAUGUCUCGUUUUCUAAAAGUAAAUUUGGAGCUUUCAUAAUCCUGAUUCGACGACUAACAAGGCGGGAUUACAACAUUUUUAUAUACUAGAAUAGUGUUGAUUAUUUAUUUGUAUAAAUUUAUAAAGUAAAAAUUUGAAGGUAAAAAUAUGCUUUUAGUUUCUAUACAUUUAUAUAUUUAGAAUUUAGUUUCUAGCCAUUUCUUUCUGGCUUUAUGGUAUAAUAGAAACAAAAGUUAUCUUAAGGGGAUUAAGGAAUGGGUUCAAGAUAUAGUGGGAUUUAUAAAUGCAUACAACUUAGAAAUUGAGCAGUUGGGCAAAUUGUCGAUUACCUUGAAUAAUCCAAGCGUGUCUGUUUGGAAGCCUCUAAAGGAGGAUGUUAUAAAGGUUAACUUUGAUGCUUCUUAUAAUCAACAGCUACGCAUUUCAAGCUCGGGUAUUAUAGCACGUAACACGGAAGGAAUGGUAAUGGCGUCCUGUACCUAUCCAUGGGAGAAUAUUCUGGAUUUGACCAUGGCAGAGGCUCGAACGUGUUUGCAGGUGAUUACCUUUGUAGAGGAACUGGGUUUUCGUGAAGUUUGUAUCGAAGGAGAUGCCUUAAAUGUUAUCAAGAGAAUAAAUUCUACAGGAGAGGACAGAUCUAACAUUAGCAAUAUGAUAAACGAAAUUCAGAGAAGAGCACUUAAUUUUAGAAGUGUAAAGUUCAGGUUUGUACCCUGGGCGACGAACGUGUCGGCGCAUGGAAUGGUGAUGGAAGGCAAGAGGCAUGACUACCCCAUGUACUAGAUAGAGGAAGUCCCGAGGGAGGUGGAAAAGCUCAUUGAUAGAGAUAUGAGAGGAUUUGAGGAGAGUAAACAAGUGUGAAGGCUGAGUCCGGGCUCGAAGGCGAUUGAUAGUCUGAGGAACUCGAUGGCCUAAGAAAAAGGCUAGUUACUAGUGUGUUGGAGUACGAAAUGAUGGAAGGAUCUAAUGACCUUUUUGUUUUACUUAUGCACGGGGGAGGAUCGGAAGGAGUUCGUAGAUGAAGGGAUUUUUCAAAUCUGGGGACGUUUCAUUUUAUGUUUUUCUUAUUUUGUUUUCGGUUGUUGUGUUGGCUUUGUUAGGAUUUGUUUUUGUUUUUAAUUUUUAG